Molecule: transfer RNA, 73 nt
Filed under: Groenewaldozyma salmanticensis
Lineage: Eukaryota; Fungi; Ascomycota; Dipodascomycetes; Dipodascales; Trichomonascaceae
Description: tRNA-Gln
Rfam family: tRNA
About the family: Transfer RNA (tRNA) molecules are approximately 80 nucleotides in length.
Source: RNAcentral
UAAAUUGUAGACUAAUAGGCAAGUCACCUGUAUUUGGAGCAGGUAUAUGUAAGUUCGAAUCUUACCAAUUUAA